GACGAGUUUGAUCCCUGGGCUCGAGAACGAACGCUGGCGGCAGGCCUAAAACAUGCAAGUUGAACGGUUGUAGCAAUACAACGAGUAGCGGACGGGUGAGUAAUGUAUGGGAACAUGUCCUUUAGUGGGGAAUAGCUUCUGGAAACGGGAGGUAAUACCGCAUAAGACCUGAGGGUGAAAGAUUUUUAUCGCUGAAAGAUGGGCUCGCGUCUGAUUAGCUAGUUGGUGGGGUAAUGGCCUACCAAGGCGACGAUCAGUAGCCGGACUGAGAGGUUGAACGGCCACAUUGGGACUGAGAUACGGCCCAGACUCCUACGGGAGGCAGCAGUGGGGAAUAUUGGGCAAUGGGGGCAACCCUGACCCAGCAACGCCGCGUGAAGGAAGAAGGCUUUCGGGUUGUAAACUUCUUUUACCAGGGACGAAGACGUGACGGUACCUGGAGAAAAAGCCACGGCUAACUACGUG
RNAcentral lists this ribosomal RNA (465 nucleotides) under uncultured bacterium. RNAcentral describes it as "bacterial SSU rRNA". It matches the Rfam family "Bacterial small subunit ribosomal RNA", at positions 1 to 507 of the family's 1533-position model. The record is from RNAcentral.